This 480-nucleotide ribosomal RNA is filed under the name Pugettia quadridens. RNAcentral's name for it is "partial 16S ribosomal RNA". It matches the Rfam family "Archaeal large subunit ribosomal RNA", at positions 1996 to 2667 of the family's 2987-position model. The record is from RNAcentral. Lineage: Eukaryota; Metazoa; Arthropoda; Malacostraca; Decapoda; Epialtidae.
AGACUUAAAGGGCCGCGGUAUAUUGACCGUGCAAAGGUAGCAUAAUCAUUAGUUUUUUAAUUGGAAACUCGUAUGAAUGGUUGAACAAAAGAAUCACUGUCUCUUUAUCUAAUAUUGAACUUAACUUUUAAGUGAAAAGGCUUAAAUUUUUUAAGGGGACGAUAAGACCCUAUAAAGCUUUAUAAUGAAAUAUUAUUUUAUAAAUAUAAUUUAUAAAAAUAAAAUAAAAUGACCUUAUUUUGUUGGGGCGACAUAGAUAUAAAUACAUUUUAUAACUGUCAAUAAAUAAAACAUAAAUUUAUGAAUAAUAAAAUGAUCCUUAUUUUAAAGAUUAAAAGACUAAGUUACUUUAGGGAUAACAGCGUUAUUUCUUUUGAGAGUUCUUAUUGAAAAAGAAGGUUGCGACCUCGAUGUUGAAUUAAAGAAUCUUUAUAGUGCAGCCGUUAUAAAAAGAAGGUCUGUUCGACCUUUAAAUCUUUA